Molecule: ribosomal RNA, 600 nt
Filed under: uncultured bacterium
Lineage: Bacteria
Description: bacterial SSU rRNA
Rfam family: Bacterial small subunit ribosomal RNA
Source: RNAcentral
AGGAACACAUCGGAUUCUACUGGUCGUGGGAAUACGUAGGGAAACUUACGCUAAUACCGAUACGACCUACGGGUGAAAGCGGGACGCAAGGCGUCGCGCGAUUGGAUAAGCCGAUUUCCGAUUAUUAGUUGGGGGGUAAGGCCCACCAAGGCGACGAUCGGUAGCUGGUCUGAGAGGACGACCAGCCACACUGGAACUGAGACACGGUCCAGACUCCUACGGGAGGCACAGUGGGGAAUAUUGGACAAUGGGCGCACCUGACCCAGCCAUGCCGCGUGGGUAAAGAAGGCCUUCGGGUUGUAAAGCCCUUUUGUCCGGAAAGAAAAGCAUCCGGUUAAUACCCGGGUGUUGAUGACGGUACCGGAAGAAUAAGCACCGGCUAACUUCGUGCCAGCAAGACCGACGGUAAUACGAAGGGUGCAAGCGUUACUCGGAAUUACUGGGCGUAAAAGCGUGCCGUAGGUGGUUCGUAAGUCUGUCGUGAAAAUCCCCGGGCUCAACCCUUGGGAAAUGGCGAUGGAUACUGGCGGGCUUAAAGUGCGGUAAAGGGAGAGUGGGAAUUCCCGGGUGUACGCAAGUGAAAUUGCGGUAAGAUCGGGA